UACGUAGGGGGCAAGCGUUGUCCGGAUUUAUUGGGCGUAAAGAGCGUGUAGGCGGCCAGAUAGGUCAGCUGUGAAAACUCGAGGCUCAACCUCGAGAUGUCGGCUGAAACCAUCUGGCUAGAGUCCGGAAGAGGAGAAUGGAAUUCCCGGUGUAGCGGUGAAAUGCGCGGAUAUCGGGAAGAACACCCGUGGCGAAGGCGGUUCUCUGGGCCGAUACUGACGCUGAGGAGCGAAAGCGUGGGGAGCGAACAGG
This 253-nucleotide ribosomal RNA is filed under the name uncultured bacterium. Its description in RNAcentral is "partial 16S ribosomal RNA". It matches the Rfam family "Bacterial small subunit ribosomal RNA", at positions 524 to 776 of the family's 1533-position model. The record is from RNAcentral.